RNAcentral lists this ribosomal RNA (464 nucleotides) under uncultured bacterium. RNAcentral's name for it is "bacterial SSU rRNA". It matches the Rfam family "Bacterial small subunit ribosomal RNA", at positions 917 to 1382 of the family's 1533-position model. The record is from RNAcentral.
GGGCCCGCACAAGCGGUGGAGCAUGUGGUUCAAUUCGACGCAACGCGAAGAACCUUACCCAGGCUUGAACUGCAGUUGAACGACCAUGAAAGUGGUUUUCCGCAAGGACGACUGUAGAGGUGCUGCAUGGCUGUCGUCAGCUCGUGUCGUGAGAUGUUGGGUUAAGUCCCGCAACGAGCGCAACCCUCGUCCUCUGUUGCCAUCAGGUCAAGCUGGGCACUCUGAGGAGACUGCCGGUGACAAACCGGAGGAAGGUGGGGAUGACGUCAAGUCAGCAUGGCCUUUAUGUCUGGGGCCACACACGUGCUACAAUGGCCGGUACAAACCGUCGCGAUCCCGCGAGGGGGAGCUAAUCGGAGAAAGCCGGUCUCAGUUCGGAUCGCAGGCUGCAACUCGCCUGCGUGAAGUUGGAAUCGCUAGUAAUCGCGGAUCAGCACGCCGCGGUGAAUACGUUCCCGGGCCUU